UCCAUGCACUGAGCAGCUGAUAAGGCUGGAA
This 31-nucleotide non-coding RNA is filed under the name Homo sapiens (human). The record is from RNAcentral. Lineage: Eukaryota; Metazoa; Chordata; Mammalia; Primates; Hominidae.